GAUGAAGAACGCAGCGAAAUGCGAUAAGUAAUGUGAAUUGCAGAAUUCAGUGAAUCAUCGAAUCUUUGAACGCACAUUGCGCCCAUUAGCAUUCUAGUGGGCAUGCCUGUUCGAGCGACAUUUCAACCCUUAAGCCCUGUUGCUUAGCGUUGGGAGCCUACAGUACUGUAGCUCCCCAAAGUUAGUGGCGGAGUCGGUUUCACACUCUAGACGUAGUAAAUUUUUCUCGUCUGUAGUUGAGCCGGUCCCCUGCCGUAAAACACCCAAUUUAUCAAGGUUGACCUCGGAUCAGGUAGGAAUACCCGCUGAACUUAAGCAUAUCAAUAAGCGGAGGA
Molecule: unclassified non-coding RNA, 335 nt
Filed under: soil metagenome
Description: partial contains 5.8S ribosomal RNA, internal transcribed spacer 2, and large subunit ribosomal RNA
Rfam family: 5.8S ribosomal RNA (bases 1-120)
Source: RNAcentral